RNAcentral lists this ribosomal RNA (140 nucleotides) under Pinus krempfii (Krempf's pine). Lineage: Eukaryota; Viridiplantae; Streptophyta; Pinopsida; Pinales; Pinaceae. The record is from RNAcentral.
AUUCUGGUGUCCCAGGCAUAGAGGAACCACACCAACCCAUCCCGAACUUGGUGGUUAAACUCUACUGCGGUGACGAUACUGUAGGGGAAGCCCUGCGGGAAAAUAGCUCGGUGCCAGGAUGAUAAAAAGCUAAAUGCCUC